This 447-nucleotide ribosomal RNA is filed under the name uncultured bacterium. Its description in RNAcentral is "bacterial SSU rRNA". It matches the Rfam family "Bacterial small subunit ribosomal RNA", at positions 328 to 792 of the family's 1533-position model. The record is from RNAcentral.
AAGCCAGACUCCUACGGGAGGCAGCAGUGGGGGAUAUUGCACAAUGGGGGGAACCCUGAUGCAGCGACGCCGCGUGGGUGAAGGAGUGCUUCGGCGCGUAAGGCCCUGUCAGUAGGGAAGAAAAUGACGGUACCUGAAGAAGAAGCCCCGGCUAACUACGUGCCAGCAGCCGCGGUAAUACGUAGGGGGCAAGCGUUAUCCGGAUUUACUGGGUGUAAAGGGGGCGCAGACGGCGAUGCAAGCCAGGAGUGAAAGCCCGGGGCCCAACCCCGGGACUGCUCUUGGAACUGCGUGGCUGGAGUGCAGGAGGGGCAGGCGGAAUUCCUGGUGUAGCGGUGAGAUGCGUAGAUAUCAGGAGGAACACCGGUGGCGAAGGCGGCCUGCUGGACUGCAACUGACGUUGCGGCUCGAAAGCGUGGGGAGCAAACAGGAUUAGAUACCCUAGUA